Molecule: non-coding RNA, 1059 nt
Organism: Chiloscyllium plagiosum (whitespotted bambooshark)
Lineage: Eukaryota; Metazoa; Chordata; Chondrichthyes; Orectolobiformes; Hemiscylliidae
Source: RefSeq, a predicted model, not a curated record
ACCAGGCUCAAGAGGCCAAAAUUAAACUCUGCUCCCACGUUCUUGAUUAAAUUGGAGAAAGUUUCUAUUCAUUCAGCACUGGAUGUUGGGACGUUGUGCGAGUUGGACGGAGCUUCAAGGGAGUGUUGUCACAUAUGCCUGCUCUGCGGUCCUUCAUGGUGGUGGAAGUGGCUGUUUUGGGAAGUUAUGCUCAAGGUAAUUAGAUGAUGAUUUGCAAUGAGGAGACUUAAAACCAGGCACCACUUCCCAAGCUGCCGAGUUUAUUGCCGCCUGAAUAUCAUUGGGUUUUGAAGUAAAAAAAAAAGCACCGCUCACAGUGGGGGAGAAACCGUACAUGUGUUGUACAUGUGGACAAGUCUUCAGCAGAUCACUGCCCGUCACGAUAUAAAUACAGCCACACUGGGGAAAGGCCAUUCAUCUGUUCCAAGGGUGGGAAAGGAUUCACUCGAUCAUCCACCUUGCUGAAACCCGAGCAAGUUCACACAGAGGACAGACCUUUGAAAUGCUCAGAAUGUGGGAGGUGUUUUAAAAACUCUGGGGCAUGAUAUCCCAACAAGAUCUUCACAGUGACGAAAGACCCUUCAUGUGCUCUCACUGUGGGUGUGGGUUCAAGCCAUCACCCAACCUCAUUCAACACCAGCGGAUCCACACUGGGGAGAGACCAUUCACCUGCUCACACGACGGGAAAGGAUUUUCUCAUAAAUCCAACCAGUUAAAACACCAGCGAUCUCUCGGAAGGUAGAGGCUGUUCUGCUGUACUGACUGUGAGAAGAGAAUCAUUGUGAAAUCCAAGCUGCUGAAACACCAGUGAAUUCAUGAGAAAUGACAGUGCCUGGUUUUUACUGUGAAUAUCUCCCUGCUUCAUAGUCUCAGCCAGAAGAUUUUGUUUCAAUUCCCACCUGAUAUGGAGCUAUGUCAAAGAACUUAAUUAGUUUUGUAAUUGAUAACUGAAUGAUAUCCACUGGGGCAGGUUUCUACUGAAGUUAAUGAACUCUAGCUCAGUUAAAGGGAUGACUGUUCUGGAUGACAGUGAAAUAAAUGCACUUUGUGUUAAACACA